AAUGAACGUUGGCGGCGUGGAUUAGGCAUGCAAGUCGAGCGAGAAGCUCUAAAUUGAAACUUCGGUCGAGUUUUUUAGAGUGGACAGCGGCGAAAGGGAGAGUAACGAGUAGAUUACGUACCCAGGGGUUCGGGAUAGCUGCGGGAAACUGCAGGUAAUACCGAAUAAUGUCUCCGGACCAAAAAUUUAUUGCCCUUGGAGCGGUCUGCUUACUAUUAGGUUGUUGGUGGGGUAAAAGCCUACCAAGCCGAAGAUGGUUAGCGGGUGUGAGAGCAUGGCCCGUCUCACUGGGACUGAGACACUGCCCAGACACCUACGGGUGGCUGCAGUCGAGAAUCUUCCGCAAUGGGCGAAAGCCUGACGGAGCGACGCCGCGUGCGGGACGAAGGCCUUCGGGUUGUAAACCGCUGUCGUAGGGGAGGAAAUUUUGACCGAUCCUAGGAGGAAGCGCAGGCUAAGUUCGUG
RNAcentral lists this ribosomal RNA (465 nucleotides) under uncultured bacterium. RNAcentral describes it as "bacterial SSU rRNA". It matches the Rfam family "Bacterial small subunit ribosomal RNA", at positions 29 to 507 of the family's 1533-position model. The record is from RNAcentral.